UGAUUGAUGGUGCUUGCACCUGAUUGAUUUUGGUCGCCAACGAGUGGCGGACGGGUGAGUAACACGUAGGUAACCUGCCCAGAAGCGGGGGACAACAUUUGGAAACAGAUGCUAAUACCGCAUAACAGCGUUGUUCGCAUGAACAACGCUUAAAAGAUGGCUUCUCGCUAUCACUUCUGGAUGGACCUGCGGUGCAUUAGCUUGUUGGUGGGGUAACGGCCUACCAAGGCGAUGAUGCAUAGCCGAGUUGAGAGACUGAUCGGCCACAAUGGGACUGAGACACGGCCCAUACUCCUACGGGAGGCAGCAGUAGGGAAUCUUCCACAAUGGGCGCAAGCCUGAUGGAGCAACACCGCGUGAGUGAAGAAGGGUUUCGGCUCGUAAAGCUCUGUUGUUAAAGAAGAACACGUAUGAGAGUAACUGUUCAUACGUUGACGGUAUUUAACCAGAAAGUCACGGCUAACUACGUGCCAGCAGCCGCGGUAAUACGUAGGUGGCAAGCGUUAUCCGGAUUUAUUGGGCGUAAAGAGAGUGCAGGCGGUUUUCUAAGUCUGAUGUGAAAGCCUUCGGCUUAACCGGAGAAGUGCAUCGGAAACUGGAUAACUUGAGUGCAGAAGAGGGUAGUGGAACUCCAUGUGUAGCGGUGGAAUGCGUAGAUAUAUGGAAGAACACCAGUGGCGAAGGCGGCUACCUGGUCUGCAACUGACGCUGAGACUCGAAAGCAUGGGUAGCGAACAGGAUUAGAUACCCUGGUAGUCCAUGCCGUAAACGAUGAGUGCUAGGUGUUGGAGGGUUUCCGCCCUUCAGUGCCGGAGCUAACGCAUUAAGCACUCCGCCUGGGGAGUACGACCGCAAGGUUGAAACUCAAAGGAAUUGACGGGGGCCCGCACAAGCGGUGGAGCAUGUGGUUUAAUUCGAAGCUACGCGAAGAACCUUACCAGGUCUUGACAUCUUGCGCCAACCCUAGAGAUAGGGCGUUUCCUUCGGGAACGCAAUGACAGGUGGUGCAUGGUCGUCGUCAGCUCGUGUCGUGAGAUGUUGGGUUAAGUCCCGCAACGAGCGCAACCCUUGUUACUAGUUGCCAGCAUUAAGUUGGGCACUCUAGUGAGACUGCCGGUGACAAACCGGAGGAAGGUGGGGACGACGUCAGAUCAUCAUGCCCCUUAUGACCUGGGCUACACACGUGCUACAAUGGACGGUACAACGAGUCGCGAACUCGCGAGGGCAAGCAAAUCUCUUAAAACCGUUCUCAGUUCGGACUGCAGGCUGCAACUCGCCUGCACGAAGUCGGAAUCGCUAGUAAUCGCGGAUCAGCAUGCCGCGGUGAAUACGUUCCCGGGCCUUGUACACACCGCCCGUCACACCAUGAGAGUUUGUAACACCCAAAGUCGGUGGGGUAACC
RNAcentral lists this ribosomal RNA (1402 nucleotides) under Limosilactobacillus fermentum. RNAcentral describes it as "bacterial SSU rRNA". It matches the Rfam family "Bacterial small subunit ribosomal RNA". Lineage: Bacteria; Bacillati; Bacillota; Bacilli; Lactobacillales; Lactobacillaceae. The record is from RNAcentral.